This 422-nucleotide ribosomal RNA is filed under the name uncultured bacterium. Its description in RNAcentral is "bacterial SSU rRNA". It matches the Rfam family "Bacterial small subunit ribosomal RNA", at positions 9 to 430 of the family's 1533-position model. The record is from RNAcentral.
GAGUUUGAUCCUGGCUCAGGACGAACGCUGGCGGCGUGCUUAACACAUGCAAGUCGAGCGGAAUAUGAGAGCUUGCUCUUAUAUUUAGCGGCGGACGGGUGAGUAACGCGUGAGCAACCUGCCUUCGACUACGGGAUAACACUUAGAAAUAGGUGCUAAUACCGUAUAAGACCACACUCGGGCAUCCGAGAGGGGUAAAAGAUUUAUCGGUCGAAGAUGGGCUCGCGUCCCAUUAGCUAGUUGGUGAGGUAACGGCUCACCAAGGCUACGAUGGGUAGCCGACCUGAGAGGGUGAUCGGCCACAUUGGAACUGAGAUACGGUCCAAACUCCUACGGGAGGCAGCAGUGGGGAAUAUUGGGCAAUGGAGGCAACUCUGACCCAGCAACGCCGCGUGAAAGAGGAAGGUCUUCGGAUUGUAAAG